This 334-nucleotide unclassified non-coding RNA is filed under the name soil metagenome. Its description in RNAcentral is "partial contains 5.8S ribosomal RNA, internal transcribed spacer 2, and large subunit ribosomal RNA". The stretch from base 1 to 120 matches the Rfam family "5.8S ribosomal RNA", at positions 35 to 154 of the family's 154-position model. The record is from RNAcentral.
GAUGAAGAACGUAGUGAAAUGCGAUAAGUAAUGUGAAUUGCAGAAUUCAGUGAAUCAUCGAAUCUUUGAACGCACAUUGCGCCCCCCAGUAUUCUGGCGGGCAUGCCUGUUCGAGCGUCAUUUCAACCAUCAAGCCCUGCUUGUGUUGGGGUCCUGCGGCUGCCCGCAGGCCCUGAAAACCAGUGGCGGGCUCGCUAGUCACACCGAGCGCAGUAGCACAUCUCGCUCAGGGCGUGCGGCGGGCUCCAGCCGUUAAAGCACCCACCUUUCGCAAGGUUGACCUCGGAUCAGGUAGGAAUACCCGCUGAACUUAAGCAUAUCAAUAAGCGGAGGA